UCCAAUAGCGUAUAUUAAAGUUGUUGCAGUUAAAAAGCUCGUAGUUGAAUUUCGGGGUCAGUAGGUCGGUCGUGCCNCUGGUAUGAACUGGUUUCACUGAUUCCUCCCUCUUGUAGAGCCGUGAUGCCACUAAUUUGGUGUUGCGGGGAAACACGACUGUUACUUUGAAAAAAUUAGAGUGUUUAAAGCAAGCUAACGCUUGAAUACAUUAGCAUGGAAUAAUGAAAUAGGACGUUCGGUCCUAUUUUGUUGGUUUCUAGGACCGCCGUAAUAAUUAAUAGGGAUAGUCGGGGGCAUCAGUAUUCAAUUGUCAGAGGUGAAAUUCUUGGAUUUAUUGAAGACUAACUACUGCGAAAGCAUUUGCCAAGGAUGUUUUCAUUAAUCAGUGAACGAAAGUUAGGGGAUCGAAGACGAUCAGAUACCGUCGUAGUCUUAACCAUAAACUAUGCCGACUAGGGAUCGGAUGAUGUUAAUUUUUUAAUGACUCAUUCGGCGCCUUACGGGAAAC
This 508-nucleotide ribosomal RNA is filed under the name uncultured glomeraceous AM fungus. RNAcentral's name for it is "SSU rRNA". It matches the Rfam family "Eukaryotic small subunit ribosomal RNA", at positions 590 to 1098 of the family's 1831-position model. The record is from RNAcentral. Lineage: Eukaryota; Fungi; Glomeromycota; Glomeromycetes; Glomerales; Glomeraceae.